GAAAAUUCGAUUCCCUUAGUAGCGGCGAGCGAAACGGGAAGAGCCCAAACCAACAAGCUUGCUUGUUGGGGUUGUAGGACACUCUAUACGGAGUUACAAAGGACGACAUUAGACGAAUCAUCUGGAAAGAUGAAUCAAAGAAGGUAAUAAUCCUGUAGUCGAAAAUGUUGUCUCUCUUGAGUGGAUCCUGAGUACGACGGAGCACGUGAAAUUCCGUCGGAAUCUGGGAGGACCAUCUCCUAAGGCUAAAUACUCUCUAGUGACCGAUAGUGAACCAGUACCGUGAGGGAAAGGUGAAAAGCACCCCGGAAGGGGAGUGAAAUAGAACCUGAAACCGUGUGCUUACAAGUAGUCAGAGCCCGUUAAUGGGUGAUGGCGUGCCUUUUGUAGAAUGAACCGGCGAGUUACGAUUUGAUGCAAGGUUAAGCAGUAAAUGUGGAGCCGUAGCGAAAGCGAGUCUGAAUAGGGCGUUUAGUAUUUGGUCGUA
RNAcentral lists this ribosomal RNA (487 nucleotides) under Staphylococcus aureus. RNAcentral's name for it is "partial 23S ribosomal RNA". It matches the Rfam family "Bacterial large subunit ribosomal RNA", at positions 216 to 711 of the family's 2925-position model. The record is from RNAcentral. Lineage: Bacteria; Bacillati; Bacillota; Bacilli; Caryophanales; Staphylococcaceae.